RNAcentral lists this ribosomal RNA (531 nucleotides) under Escherichia coli. RNAcentral describes it as "bacterial SSU rRNA". It matches the Rfam family "Bacterial small subunit ribosomal RNA", at positions 1012 to 1533 of the family's 1533-position model. Lineage: Bacteria; Pseudomonadati; Pseudomonadota; Gammaproteobacteria; Enterobacterales; Enterobacteriaceae. The record is from RNAcentral.
AUGUGCCUUCGGGAACCGUGAGACAGGUGCUGCAUGGCUGUCGUCAGCUCGUGUUGUGAAAUGUUGGGUUAAGUCCCGCAACGAGCGCAACCCUUAUCCUUUGUUGCCAGCGGUCCGGCCGGGAACUCAAAGGAGACUGCCAGUGAUAAACUGGAGGAAGGUGGGGAUGACGUCAAGUCAUCAUGGCCCUUACGACCAGGGCUACACACGUGCUACAAUGGCGCAUACAAAGAGAAGCGACCUCGCGAGAGCAAGCGGACCUCAUAAAGUGCGUCGUAGUCCGGAUUGGAGUCUGCAACUCGACUCCAUGAAGUCGGAAUCGCUAGUAAUCGUGGAUCAGAAUGCCACGGUGAAUACGUUCCCGGGCCUUGUACACACCGCCCGUCACACCAUGGGAGUGGGUUGCAAAAGAAGUAGGUAGCUUAACCUUCGGGAGGGCGCUUACCACUUUGUGAUUCAUGACUGGGGUGAAGUCGUAACAAGGUAACCGUAGGGGAACCUGCGGUUGGAUCACCUCCUUACCUUAAAGAA